Molecule: non-coding RNA, 617 nt
Organism: Procambarus clarkii (red swamp crayfish)
Lineage: Eukaryota; Metazoa; Arthropoda; Malacostraca; Decapoda; Cambaridae
Source: RefSeq, a predicted model, not a curated record
ACUCCUUGGUCGUCCUCACUCCUCGGUCGUCCUCACUCCUCUCCCGUCACACCUCACCAGCAUGCGUCACUUCGUGGUCUUGGCCGCUCUGGUGUUGGCUGUCUGCUUCCUGGCUCCGUCACACGCCCACCGUCGCUAUGGUGGUGGUAAACGCCCAGGACAUGGAGGUGGUGGUGGUCAUGGUGGUAAACUACAUGGUGGAUUUGGAGGCGGCGCCGGUGGCUUAGGAGGUGGAUUUUCAGGCGGCGCUGGUGAGUUUGGGGGCAGCGGUGGCUUUGGAGGUCAAGGAGGAUUUGGAGGUGGUUUUGGCGGCAAAGGCUCAGGUGGCUUUGGAGGUGGCGCCGGUGGCUUUGGAGGUGGUGCCGGUGGCUUUGGCGGUGGCCAUAAGGGCGGUGGAGGUUACUCAGGGUAAACCGCAGCAUUCAACUCGUCAACCUUCCACCAGUCAACGAUCAGUGGAACACAAGUCAUAAUUAACCAUUCAACAGUUCCACCCAAAAUCCUCUUGAGUCUUUUUUCUAUAUUUUAUGUGUAUCGUGUCUUCAAACUGUUUAAUCUGUAAAAAAAUUUGUAUCGUGUUCAUUAUGUAAAAAGUCAAAUACAUUUAUAUUUCUUUC